GGGGGCGAACAUGGUUUCGACGGGGAUCAUGGAGGCCGGAUAAGCGAGCCGAAGCCCCGUGCUUCGUUAAAAACGGGAACAGUUUUAAAGUAACUGACAACAACAAUACUUUAGCAGUCGCGGCGUAACAACGCCAGCGUCCGUCCGCCCGCAAAAACUUACCGUUGCGGAUCCGGGCGUCAUUCAGGGUAGGGAACGAACCCGCCUAAGCUUUGCGGCGGGCCGGAUUGAUGAAGCUACCGGAACGCGGAUCCCGUCGCUGGGAGCCGCGGAAAGGGAAUUUUAAAACGGCGACUACGCUCGUAGAAAGUUCUGUUGACAGGUUUUCGGACGGGAGUUCGACUCUCCCCGCCUCCACCA
RNAcentral lists this small RNA (360 nucleotides) under Christensenellales. Its description in RNAcentral is "CAG-1024 sp004554165 Standard tmRNA". It matches the Rfam family "transfer-messenger RNA". Rfam says of the family: Bacterial tmRNA, also known as 10Sa RNA or SsrA, is named for its dual tRNA and mRNA-like properties. Its role is to liberate the mRNA from a stalled ribosome. The record is from RNAcentral. Lineage: Bacteria; Bacillati; Bacillota; Clostridia. RNAcentral also lists the same sequence under 1 other name.